CUUGGCACGCGCCUGCCUUCACCCCGGACCGCCGCCGGGACCGCCCCCAGAGUGCGCGGGGGACGCUACGGCCUCCCAGGCACUGGCUGAGCCACCUCGGCCGAUCACCAGCCUCCGGCUGCACCAUCAUAAAUCCCAAUCCCGGAGACUGCGCACGGGGCACCCUGUAAACCCGCACCCGCUGUAAACGCGGGGCGGGGGGGCGACAGAACGGAGAACCAAACAGGCAUGGUGUCCACCUUCCGCGGAGCUGACAGUCCGGGGUAAACACACAAAACCUGUAUCGCUAACCGCAGUACCAAAGACGGGCAAAGGAAGUGUCCCAAGGCCUCUCUCCAAGGAUGAGCGUGCAAAGACCCAGAGGCCGGACAGAGAGCUGAGAGGGGGCUGCUGCAGAGGCCUCCACGGGACAGAGUGGCGCCGCGUGGACAGGCUCUGGGCAAGGACCUUGUAUCCCCUGGUAUACCCCUGGAAUGAGGAGGGUUCUGAUCUAUGCGACCUAGAAGACGUUGGUGCCUAG
Molecule: long non-coding RNA, 520 nt
Filed under: Mustela putorius furo (domestic ferret)
Lineage: Eukaryota; Metazoa; Chordata; Mammalia; Carnivora; Mustelidae
Description: lncRNA (ENSMPUG00000024809.1)
Source: RNAcentral